Molecule: ribosomal RNA, 253 nt
Filed under: uncultured bacterium
Lineage: Bacteria
Description: partial 16S ribosomal RNA
Rfam family: Bacterial small subunit ribosomal RNA
Source: RNAcentral
UACGGGGGGGGCAAGCGUUGUUCGGAAUUACUGGGCGUAAAGGGCUGGUAGGCGGCCAACUAAGUCGGGUGUGAAAUCCCCAGGCUUAACCUGGGAACUGCAUCCGAUACUGGUCGGCUUGAAUCCGGGAGAGGGAUGCAGAAUUCCAGGUGUAGCGGUGAAAUGCGUAGAUAUCUGGAGGAAUACCGGUGGCGAAGGCGGCAUCCUGGACCGGCAUUGACGCUGAACAGCGAAAGCUAGGGGAGCAAACGGG